RNAcentral lists this non-coding RNA (1797 nucleotides) under Pan troglodytes (chimpanzee). The record is from RNAcentral. Lineage: Eukaryota; Metazoa; Chordata; Mammalia; Primates; Hominidae.
AGGACAGAGUGAGAGUGAGAGCAGGCGUGAAAGAGCAAGACACAGAGAGAGAGAGAGAGAGAGAGAGAGACAGAGAGAGAGACAAGGGGGGGUGGGGGAGAGAGAGAGAGAGAGAGAGAGAGAAAUUAAAUCAGCCCUCAGGAACUCUAGCCCCUCACCUACCAUUUGACUGCAACUUCAUCUCUCCUAUACCUUUUCCGACCUGGCUGGAGUCAUCCUCACAACUGCUGAUACUCUCCUAAUUCCCCACUAGCUGGCUUCACAUCGAUGAUCAGGCACCCGUCAUAAUGACUAAUCGUGCUGCUCACUGCCUGUCGGAUGUUCAUCCAAGUCUUCCCCUGCCAUUCACAGAAUUCACGCUACAGCAUCUGGUCACCAUUACAACGUGCAAGCCAAGCUUGCAUGCUUUGACGCACAAGCCACCAUGUUGAAGAGGAUCAUGGAGUCAAGAACUGACUGUGGCUGAAGGCCAAUAGCCAUCAAGAAACUGAGGACCUCAGUCCAAUGACCCAUAGAAACGGGAACCUGCCAACAACCAUCCAUUGAGCAACACCUCAGAUGAAACCUUAAUUGCAACCGGCAAGAAAUCUUAAAGCAGUGGAUCCAAGCAAAGCCUGCCUGCAUUCCUGACCUACAGAACUUGUGAGAUAAUGGAUGUAGGUUGUUUUAAACAGCUAAAUUUUGUGAUAGUACGUUACACAUUAAUAGGUACCUAACACAAUAACAAUCAAACAAAUUAAUAAGAAUUCAAUAUCAUAGAUAUCUUAUUCUUUUAAUAAGAAUUAGAUAUUCUACAUUUUAGCAAAAGGUAUCAGUUGCUUAUGAUCAUAUGUGUGUGAAGGGACAAAGUGUCUUAGUGGCCCACUGGAAGUAAGAAUAGUUCCCUGAACUACAAUAAAUGCCAUAAUCAGUGUGGUUUCAAUUGCAAUACGAUAUUCCAAAAAGGACAUUUCAUAAAGUUUUACAAUUUUGUUUUGGUGAAAAAUUUAUUGCUUAUCAGCUUAUCUCACAGAUAUACUUCUUUUCUGCAUAUUUACGACUGUGAAUAUAGAAAAUGUAUUUCAACUGACAGUACGGUUGAAUUAAAAAUAGUUUACUCAGUGUCACAAAAUAAUGGAGGUUAUCCAAUUGAGAAACCUCAAUAAUUGAUCAAUGUGUUAAUGGUACACAUUAAUGCUUUUUGUAUUUCUUUAUUAUUGGGGGUAAAAGCUACAGAAACACACUGGCCAUUAGAAAGUCAGAAGUCAACUGAGAAAAGCUCUCAGGUUUAUAUACAUAAUUCUUAUGGCAAAAAUAACUUUUGGAGGAGUUAUUUGUUUCAUUUGUUCACAUUUACUGGUGUGCUCCUAUUUAAUCAAUACAGUAAGAUUAAUAUGACAUAAAUGGAACUUUUGAAAUGUAAGGUAGUUUUUCAAUCUAUCAUAAAAUAUUUGUGGUAAUCAGAGCCCCUGAUGGAAUAUUACUAUUGUAUUUUCAAUUUUUUAAAAGAUGACUAGACUUCUUCUCAAGAUUGUGCAGUAUGCUAUUUGCAACACAUUGAGGACACAGCCCUCUGAGAGAUGUAAUCCAAACCGACUGCUUCAGAAACAUACUAGUAACUGAUUUGAGUGUCAUUGUCAUUAUCUAGGAUAAUUCUAGAGUACUUCCAUAUAGAAAAAAAUGUUAAAUAAUGCAAUAUAAUGAUUUUCAUUCCAUUCCUACUGAAGGUACCUCUUUCUUAAGAGAAAAAAAAAUGGAUAACUGAAGUGCAAAUCAGCCAUAGGGAAUAUGUGGAGAGUAUCAGCACUGCCUGUAGCU